Raphanus sativus (radish) is the source of this 1347-nucleotide long non-coding RNA. RefSeq lists it as uncharacterized. The transcript has 2 exons. The record is from RefSeq and is a predicted model, not a curated record. Lineage: Eukaryota; Viridiplantae; Streptophyta; Magnoliopsida; Brassicales; Brassicaceae.
UGGUUCUUUAUAAAUAUGAAUAUUUAUACUUACGGGAAAUUUGGUUCUCACUUUUUGCUUCCUCUUCAGCCAGAGAGAAGAUAAUGAUACUCAAGUCACACUCAACAUACACCGGUAUAAUCAACAAAGAUGAAUCCUAGUCGAUUUGCAAGAGGAAGGAUCAAAUCAGAAUAAAAAAAAUCAACACAGAAGCCCACUCAAUAUAUGUUUCAUGUGUUCCUAAUCUAUGAAAAGAAGGAAAUAGAACGAUUUGUAGAAUGCUACUGUCCAUUUUUCAGAAACCUGGUAUUUGAUGUCAAACAAAAAGAAGAAAAGAAACUUUUUUUUUUUAAUAAUAUUAUUUCAUUAGAAAACCCAAAAGGGGAUCAGAAAACAGUGGUCGUCACCGGAGAAACGACGGUGCUUACAAACACGAGGCUAAGAACAAGGAAUCACAACCAAGAGAUACAUGCAUAAAUCAGAGAUCUAAAAGAGAAAGGGGUCAAGCGAGGGUGAAAAGACAAGGGAGUACGAAACUCCCACUCCGACGAACACGAGAGGAUAGCAUCUCCAACAUUACCGGGAACUCACAACAGCCGGCGUGUCCGGAACCAAGCCACAGAUCCAUCCCGAUUAGUCUUCAGUGCAAGAGCCCCCCUCGGAGUGUCCCGCGGCCCCGAACACCGGUUUCCAGAGGAACACGCGACUCUCAAACCUUCCUCCGCCGUCCUCUGCUACCGCCUCGCCGUCACACACGUAUUUAAGCGCCGUGCACAAACUCUCAGGUCAAACCGGCCAAGAGUGAAUUUCGCGACUUUGAAGAACAUAUCCAGAAGAACCGCCAUCCUCUAGACCAUCUCUCCGUCAACGAAAGCCCUCACAGCAAUGACGCGAAAGAACCAUAGCCCCGAUGGCUGACUUGCGCAAAACCCGGUCCUCCUCCGCCGUCCUCGAGCAGAGAUCGAGACCAUCGUACGGCGAGUCACCAGAGCCAUAGUUUCUACAUAGAGACUCACCGCUUCAGAGACUCUUCCGUCACGGUGAAAAGAGAGGUGUGCCUCCAUGGCGCCACAUAUUCCGUCAUGAAGCUCAAAGAUCCCGACUUUCCCGUCUCAGCCUCACCGGAAUCUCGUUGCAACUCCAACGAAGUCCAGAUCCGUCGCCUUUUGGCUAAAAACCCGACAGCUCAGAGCCACAGACAUAUCGAAACAGGAGGGAACAGAUAGGAGAAAGUUUUAGAAAACGAAAAGGGAUGGGAGGCCGACGAAAAACCCGCCAGCCGCCAAGACUAAAAGAAGAUCUAGGGUUUUCGAGAUAGAGAGAGAAAUGAGAGAGAGAGAGAGAGAGAGAGAGAGAGAGAGAGAGAGA